RNAcentral lists this ribosomal RNA (395 nucleotides) under Curruca curruca (lesser whitethroat). RNAcentral's name for it is "Sylvia curruca (lesser whitethroat) partial 12S ribosomal RNA". It matches the Rfam family "Bacterial small subunit ribosomal RNA", at positions 794 to 1384 of the family's 1533-position model. Lineage: Eukaryota; Metazoa; Chordata; Aves; Passeriformes; Sylviidae. The record is from RNAcentral.
GCCUGGCCCUAAAUCUUGAUGCUCGAUCUUACCGGAGCAUCCGCCCGAGAACUACGAGCACUAACGCUUAAAACUCUAAGGACUUGGCGGUGCUCCAAACCCACCUAGAGGAGCCUGUUCUGUAAUCGAUAAUCCACGCUACACCUUACCAUUCCUUGCUCAAAACAGCCUAUAUACCGCCGUCGCCAGCCCACCCCCCAUGAAGGUUCAACAGUGGACGCAAUAGCCUUACCCGCUAGCAAGACAGGUCAAGGUAUAGCCCAUGGAAUGGGAGCAAUGGGCUACAUUUUCUAGUCUAGAACAUACGGCAAAGGUGCAUGAAACUGCCCCUGGAAGGAGGAUUUAGCAGUAAAGAGAGACAAGCGAGCCCUCUUUAAGCCGGCUCUGGAGCACGU